AACGAUAUCCGUCUUUUUUUUUUUGAAAAUGACGGUGUGACAACUGAUUGCGCCUGGAGUACCGGUGAAAAUUACAACAUUUCUUAGUGAAAUCCUUAAGGAAGCCCAAGUACUAGCAGAUGGAGUCCAACCAGAUUUCCAUGUUGGGUUCCAACCAGUUGGACGUAGCGCUGCAGCGGCUGCAGAUGCAGCGUGAUGAGCUGCUCCAGCCGCCCCAGCAGCUCCAGAACUCUGGAUUACUGAAAGCUUCAACGCUUCCAAAUCUGUAAAAUAGCAUUUCUAGUCAAUUAAUAUUUAACUUAUAUUUUGAAAAAAUC
Molecule: long non-coding RNA, 317 nt
Organism: Melitaea cinxia (Glanville fritillary)
Lineage: Eukaryota; Metazoa; Arthropoda; Insecta; Lepidoptera; Nymphalidae
Exons: 2
Source: RefSeq, a predicted model, not a curated record